AGAGAUGCACUGGGNUUAAAGCGUGCGCAGGCGGUUUUGUAAGACAGAGGUGAAAUCCCCGGGCUCAACCUGGGAACUGCCUUUGCGACUGCAAGGCUGGAGUGCGGCAGAGGGGGAUGGAAUUCCGCGUGUAGCAGUGAAAUGCGUAGAUAUGCGGAGGAACACCGAUGGCGAAGGCAAUCCCCUGGGCCUGCACUGACGCUCAUGCACGAAAGCGUGGGGAGCAAACA
RNAcentral lists this ribosomal RNA (230 nucleotides) under uncultured Alicycliphilus sp. Its description in RNAcentral is "partial 16S ribosomal RNA". It matches the Rfam family "Bacterial small subunit ribosomal RNA", at positions 548 to 774 of the family's 1533-position model. Lineage: Bacteria; Pseudomonadati; Pseudomonadota; Betaproteobacteria; Burkholderiales; Comamonadaceae. The record is from RNAcentral.